GUAAUAAAGUCUUUAGAUAUAUCUCUUAACUAUUUUCUUCAUGUAUUUCUAUGCCUACUUUUGUAUAUAUACAUAUAUAUAUCGAUUUUUGUAGGAUACAAGCUGGCCUUCAACUACCUUAAAGCCAAACGAUAUACCGAAGCCAUUGAUAUUUGUAAUUUGGUACUAGCUUCUCAUCCAAAUUAUCCAAAAAUACAGAAAGAAAUCCUUACUAAAGCAAGAUCUAACUGGCGGAUUUAGAAACUUAGCUAUCAUCUUUGUAAAAUUAUCUAGUCUGGAAAUGUUCAUUUCUUCUUAAAAAGUGUUUGUCAAUAAAUCUAGUGUAACAUAUUUUAUACACAAUCUGGUCA
Molecule: long non-coding RNA, 350 nt
Organism: Octopus bimaculoides (California two-spot octopus)
Lineage: Eukaryota; Metazoa; Mollusca; Cephalopoda; Octopoda; Octopodidae
Source: RefSeq, a predicted model, not a curated record